This is a long non-coding RNA of Vigna unguiculata (cowpea), 1098 nucleotides long. The record is from RefSeq and is a predicted model, not a curated record. Lineage: Eukaryota; Viridiplantae; Streptophyta; Magnoliopsida; Fabales; Fabaceae.
GCUGACGCUAGUGAUGAACACGACGAAGACGGUGAGCCCAAUAACUAGGGUUUCAAAAUCUUUAACCGAUACAAAGCUCAAUUGAUUUGUGUGGUGUGUUGAACUUGCUCUUUUCGAGUAUUUUGCUGGAGAGAAAGAAAGUGUUUUGCAAGUAAGUUCAUGUUUUGCAAAAGGUGCAAUGGUGCUUAUCAUUGUUCGGUCUGCAACCUCCUCAUAAGUUCAAUUUUGAAAUGCUAGAGUGGGAGGGCAAGGAUUUCUUAAAAGAUGUUCUGUAUCCAAUCUAAGGCCUAUAAACGUGAAGGUUGAAUAUUUCAUUUUUCAGGUGUUUCUGCUGUAGUCCAGGGAGAAAAUAAUGACAACUGCAAGGAAAGAGAAAAAGAGAGAGAGGCUCGAAGAGAAGAGAAGCCUAAGAAAGCAACUUUGUUGGAAAAGCUUGAAGAUGGGGAUUCUAUUGCUACAAGCAUGCUGCAGGGCUCUCAAAUUAAUAAUGAAAAAGAAGCUGGUUUAAUAACUAAUUCCAUUAAUAGUGUCACUCAACUGAAGGAGAGGUUGUCAAGUCAUAAUCCAUACAGAGGCAAGUCUGACUCCGUUAGGUUUGUUGAGUAUUGGGUUCCUAUACAAAUAUCUAAUAUGCAGCUUGAACAAUAUUGUUCUAUUUUACUGUCAAAUGCUUCUAUUCUGCGCUCCUCAUCAAAGGUUGAUAACAUUGAGGCUGUUCGUGAUGUUCUUAUAUUAACUCGGAAGUGUUGUAGUCAUCCCUAACAAGGGUCUCGAACCGUCUCAGUAUCUUGAUUUUGAUUUAAAAGCAAGUGGCAAGUUGCAACUUCUUGAUUCAAUGCUUGAGGAGUUGAGAAAAAGUGAUUUAAGGGUGCUCAUUCUUUUUCAGCAAUAUGAUAAAAAAUCUGGACAAGAAAAGAACAGAAUUGGCUUUGUACAUUUUGCAGAGAGGUCCAAUGCUAUGAAAGCACUGAAAGAUAUGAAUUAGAAGGUAAAGUUUUAGAGUGCUCUUUGGCAAAGCCACGGUCUGAUCAAAAGUCUGGAGGGUCAAACACACAGAAGUCAGGACCAGGAUUGCUUGCAAGUUAUCCACAACAUGUC